UCGGUAACUUUUAAGAACAAUUGAUAUUUAUUGAAUCACAUGCCUAGAAAUCCAUUCCCAUAUCAGUACACAAAAACCUGGAUUCAUCUUAAAUGCAUUUGUUUAAAUCAAAACAUCAGUAACUACCACAAACAAACAUCAUAUAUUUCUAACCACACUCGAAAGUUGAGCAGCAUUUGGUUUCAGAUUCACUCUAGGUGCUAGGAUUAAGUCCGUAGAACCUCAAAUGCCUACAGUGCACCAGUUCUUAGAGCAUGGUCUAAAUCAGCAAUCAGAUCAUUCACAUCCUCUAUCCCCACAGAGAUGCGAAUAAGAUCUUCGGUAAGGCCUCUGGCUUCUCGGACUGCUGCUGGUAUACUUGCAUGGGACAUAAAGCAAGGCAUGCUUAUGAGGGACUUGACACUCCCAAAACUGACAGUUAUACUGAAAUACUUGGUAGUCUCAACAAUGUGCUUUGAGAGUUCCAGUGAUCCUGUUAAAAAGCUAAGCACGGAACCUGCACCCUUUGCCUGAGAAUAGUGCAAGUCACGUCCAGGAUGACCAGGAAGACCCGCAUAGUUAACUUUCUUCACUCGCGGAUGUGAAGCAAGAAACUCAGCAAUCUUCUGUGCAUUGUCCUGUUGUUUCUCUACACGCAAGGCCAUGGUCUUAAUACCUCGUAAACAAAUCCAACAGUCAAAUGGUGCUAAUCCAGAGCCUUCUGCAUUUUGUAGGAAAUACAAAUCUCUCGCCAAGCUUUCCCCUUUUACUGCAAGCACACCUGCCAUGACAUCACUAUGCCCAGCCAUAAAUUUAGUAGCAGA
This 803-nucleotide unclassified non-coding RNA is filed under the name Hevea brasiliensis (rubber tree). Lineage: Eukaryota; Viridiplantae; Streptophyta; Magnoliopsida; Malpighiales; Euphorbiaceae. The record is from RNAcentral.